Long non-coding RNA from Vicia villosa (hairy vetch), 1843 nucleotides. RefSeq lists it as uncharacterized. The transcript is spliced from 3 exons. The record is from RefSeq and is a predicted model, not a curated record. Lineage: Eukaryota; Viridiplantae; Streptophyta; Magnoliopsida; Fabales; Fabaceae.
CUUCCCCUAAUAAACUCUUCCUAAACCCUAUCUCUAUUCCCAAACCAAUUUCUCUUUUCACGUACCUAAUAAUGUCAUCAUAAAUUUUUUCCCCCAAUUCAUUUUGUAAAAUGGAAUCGUUUCUACAAUUUUCCAGGUUGUUGCAAUGGCUGCCGUAAGAAAUGAUUUUGUUAAGGAAAUCAAUCCCUCUAAGGAAUCUUGGGACAUUGUUGUUCAGGUGAUUCGCUUAUGGUUUGUACCAGAUAUGAAUUUGAAAGAAUUUUUUUUUGCGAUGAAGAUGGUUCUAAUGGAUGAGAAGGGUGGUUGACUCAAGAUCCAAUUGAUACAUUGUUAUCAUCCUGCAAAUGUUAUGAAAUGACGAAACAAACAACCUAGCAGUUGUGUACCCCUGUUUUGACUGCGAGUGCGACUUUUGAGUACUGGUCAUUGUGUUGUUUGUAUUGGUGUUGUGUUGAUGUGAUUUGUGAGUUGCUGUCGUGUUGCCGUUGUUAUUGGUAAUUUUUUAGUGCACAUACUGGAAUGGUGAUUCUACUGGUGAAAAGAUGAUAUUUAUAAUUAUGUUCCAUACUGCAUUUGUGCGGUCAAAUAUAAUGAUGCAGAUCCUUGAUGAAGAUGAUAUUUUGUUGUUGGGAUGCUAAGGAUCAAUAUCUUUAAAAAUUCAAACCAGAGGUAAGUUAUGAUUAUUCUUUUGUUAUAAAAAAAUUUCUUCUGCCUAUAAUUUCUUAGUGCCAUUCUGCUAUGUGCAAAAUCUUUGUCACAUUUCUCUAAAUUUUUGAUAGAGUUUCAUGAUUCCUAUUGUCAUUUUUUAACAUAAUUGAAUUGUUGAGUAUAGUUACUGGUUGUUCCAUGCUUCUUAUUCUCAUUUCCUAACAUAAUUCAAAUAGUUUCGUUUCCAAUUCGAUAUUUCAUUAAACGAGUUUGAAAUUUAAUUAAUGGAACCAAUAUCUGCCAUGUUUACAUAUCUAUUUUGUUGAGUUUACAUAUCUAUUCAAUAUAAUUUUUUUUUGAGUUUACAUAUCUAUUCAAUAUACAAUUUGUUGUAUAUAGAAUAUCAUGAUUUUGUUAGUCUUUUACUUAUAGCCCAUGAUUUUGUCUAAGAAUAGCUUUAGUUUGAGCAUUGAAUAUUGAAAAUAUUUAAACUGUUUAUCACUUUUAGACUUAGAUUAAUGUUAGAGAAUCAUGACUGACAUGUUAUUGAAGGGAUUAUAUACAACUGAUUACAAUUCAACAACAAGUACAAGCAUUAUUGAUGGAGCAUAUUAAUAUUAGCCAAAUGAUCCUUCUAAAUCCAUCCUUUGCGAGAUUUUCAGGGAGGGUAGGUAAAAACUUAUAAGGUGAGGGAUGUCUCCCACCUAUAAACUCAAUCUCAGGCCAUAUCUUGAGACUCUCAUGUUAUAUUUUUUGGAUUUGAAUUUGAUUUAUUUAUAAAAACAUGUUUAAGCAACAAAUUGGUGGUUAAAAUUUGGUAAAUUUCAGGGAAGAAAUGGAAGGGGCUUUUUGUUUUCAGAUGUAAUGAUUGUUAGAGUGGGCCAAUAGAAGAGAAGGAACUGAUAACAGGUCUCUAUACAUACUUGAGAAGUCUAAAGUAUUUAGGGAAAAUUUGCAGUUGCUGAAGUCACGGAUUGAGGAUUUGGUUUAAACGCAGUAACUGUGUCGUUAUUGAUUUUGGCCAUUUGAUAUUAAAUUAACGAGAAGAUGAUUUAAUGAUGAUUUAGAAAAGAGGUGAGAGGAGUUGACUGAUCUCAAAUCGAUGGCUAAGAUCGACUAAUGCAUGUAACUGUUUGCUUAAAUCCUAUUUUAUUCUAUGUAUAGGUUAAUAUAUUCUACAUGUUAAAUUUCAAUU